UACGAAGGGGCUAGCGUUGUUCGGAAUUACUGGGCGUAAAGCGCACGUAGGCGGAUACUUAAGUCAAGGGGUGAAAUCCCGGGGCUCAACCCCGGAACUGCCUUUGAUAACUGGGUAUCUCGAGUCCGGAAGAGGUGAGUGGAAUUCCGAGUGUAGAGGUGAAAUUCGUUAGAUAUUCGGAGGAACACCAGUGGCGAAGGGCGGCUCACUGGUCCCGGGUACUGACGCUGAGGUGCGAAAAGCGUGGGGGAGCAAACAGGG
RNAcentral lists this ribosomal RNA (261 nucleotides) under uncultured bacterium. RNAcentral's name for it is "partial 16S ribosomal RNA". It matches the Rfam family "Bacterial small subunit ribosomal RNA", at positions 524 to 777 of the family's 1533-position model. The record is from RNAcentral.